UGUUAAGUAAGGUGUGCCUUGCUUUAAGC
Molecule: non-coding RNA, 29 nt
Filed under: Mus musculus (house mouse)
Lineage: Eukaryota; Metazoa; Chordata; Mammalia; Rodentia; Muridae
Source: RNAcentral